UGGUGAAGUGAUUUGUCUGCUUAAUUGCGAUAACGAACGAGACCUUAACCUGCUAAAUAGCCCGUAUUGCUUUGGCAGUACGCUGGCUUCUUAGAGGGACUUUCGGCUCAAGCCGAAGGAAGUUUGAGGCAAUAACA
Molecule: ribosomal RNA, 137 nt
Filed under: uncultured eukaryote
Lineage: Eukaryota
Description: partial 18S ribosomal RNA
Rfam family: Eukaryotic small subunit ribosomal RNA
Source: RNAcentral